GAUGAACGCUGGCGGCGUGCCUAAUACAUGCAAGUCGAGCGAACGGACGAGAAGCUUGCUUCUCUGAUGUUAGCGGCGGACGGGUGAGUAACACGUGGAUAACCUACCUAUAAGACUGGGAUAACUUCGAGAAACCGGAGCUAAUACCGGAUAAUAUUUUGAACCGCAUGGUUCAAAAGUGAAAGACGGUCUUGCUGUCACUUAUAGAUGGAUCCGCGCUGCAUUAGCUAGUUGGUAAGGUAACGGCUUACCAAGGCAACGAUGCAUAGCCGACCUGAGAGGGUGAUCGGCCACACUGGAACUGAGACACGGUCCAGACUCCUACGGGAGGCAGCAGUGGGGAAUCUUCCGCAAUGGGCGAAAGCCUGACGGAGCAACGCCGCGUGAGUGAUGAAGGUCUUCGGAUCGUAAAACUCUGUUAUUAGGGAAGAACAUAUGUGUAAGUAACUGUGCACAUCUUGACGGUACCUAAUCAGAAAGCCACGGCUAACUACGUG
Molecule: ribosomal RNA, 497 nt
Filed under: uncultured bacterium
Lineage: Bacteria
Description: partial 16S ribosomal RNA
Rfam family: Bacterial small subunit ribosomal RNA
Source: RNAcentral